AAAAAAAAACACAAACAAAUGAAACUGAAUGUUGACCACUUUGUGACUGUCCAGCUGAAUUAUCACACAAACUGUGGACGACCACAACGGCAACCAGAUGCAGGGAGGCAACAUCAGGCCCCUUCUCAGCCCCCCUCCCCUUCUCACUCCCCCUCCCCUUCUCAAUCCCCCUCCCCUUCUCACUCCCCCUCCCCUUCCCAGUCCCCCUCACCUUCCCAGUCCCCCUCAGCUUCCCAGUCCCCCUCAGCUUCCCAGUCCCCCUCAGCUUCCCAGUCCCCCUCAGCUUCACCGGCCCCCUCAGCUUCCCAGGCCCCCUCCCCUUUCCACUCCCCUUCUCAGCCCACCUCUCCUUCUCUUUCUGUGCCCCCUUCUCCUCCUUCCCAGUCCCCUUCUCCUUCUACUUCCAACUCCCCUUCUCAGCCACCCUCACCCUCUAUUGGACAAACAUUCUCUCCGCCCCCCUCGCCAUCUCAAUCAGACCCACCCUCAGAAAUUACAUCCCCAAUCCCUCCUCCUUACCCCAUCUCUCCUCCUUCCCCAAUCCCUCCUCCUUCACCCAUCCCUCCUCCUUCCCCCAUCCCUCCUCCUUCCCCAAUCCCUCCUCCUUCCCCAUCCAGCUGCCUUCACCACCCAGUGAAUGGGCAGAAGAAGCCCCUGAUGGUCUCAGCGGUGAACAUAAUGUUGCUGAGGAAAAUGUUGCAGUUGGAGAUCCCACAAGUUUUGGGGGAAUUAUUGAAACCAUGCGCCAACACCUGCAUGGGUUAAUUAAUUGUCUGGAUCAGUUACAAAAAUUUGCAUGAUUUUUUUUUUGUUUAAUACAUUUAUUGAUUACAAAAAAAUUACAAAUAAAAACAAGUUGUUUAAAGUUAA
Long non-coding RNA from Pseudophryne corroboree (corroboree frog), 870 nucleotides. RefSeq lists it as uncharacterized. The transcript has 3 exons. The record is from RefSeq and is a predicted model, not a curated record. NCBI's taxonomy places the organism in Eukaryota, Metazoa, Chordata, Amphibia, Anura, Myobatrachidae.